GAUCAAGAACGCAGCGAAAUGCGAUACGUAAUGUGAAUUGCAGAAUUCAGUGAAUCAUCGAGUCUUUGAACGCACAUUGCGCCCCCUGGUAUUCCGGGGGGCAUGCCUGUCCGAGCGUCAUUGCUGCCCUCAAGCACGGCUUGUGUGUUGGGCCUCCGUCCUCCUCCCGGGGGACGGGCCCGAAAGGCAGCGGCGGCACCGCGUCCGGUCCUCGAGCGUAUGGGGCUUCGUCACCCGCUCUUGUAGGCCCGGCCGGCGCUUGCCGACACAUCAAUCUUUUUUCCAGGUUGACCUCGGAUCAGGUAGGGAUACCCGCUGAACUUAAGCAUAUCAAUAAGCGGAGGA
Molecule: unclassified non-coding RNA, 345 nt
Filed under: soil metagenome
Description: partial contains 5.8S ribosomal RNA, internal transcribed spacer 2, and large subunit ribosomal RNA
Rfam family: 5.8S ribosomal RNA (bases 1-120)
Source: RNAcentral